GAUGAACGCUGGCGGCGUGCCUAACACAUGCAAGUCGAACGAAGCUUGACGGAUGAUUUCUUCGGAAUGAAACCAGAUAUGACUUAGUGGCGGACGGGUGAGUAACACGUGAGCAACCUGCCUUUCAGAGGGGGAUAACGGCUGGAAACGGUCGCUAAUACCGCAUGAAGUGUUCGCAUGGCAUUUAUAUCAAAGAUUUAUCGCUGAAAGAUGGCCUCGCGUCUGAUUAGCUAGUUGGUGAGGUAACGGCCCACCAAGGCGACGAUCAGUAGCCGGACUGAGAGGUUGAACGGCCACAUUGGGACUGAGAUACGGCCCAGACUCCUACGGGAGGCAGCAGUGGGGAAUAUUGGGCAAUGGGCGCAAGCCUGACCCAGCAACGCCGCGUGAAGGAAGAAGGCUUUCGGGUUGUAAACUUCUUUUGUCAGGGACGAGUAGAAGACGGUGCCUGACGAAUAAGCCACGGCUAACUACGUG
Molecule: ribosomal RNA, 477 nt
Filed under: uncultured bacterium
Lineage: Bacteria
Description: bacterial SSU rRNA
Rfam family: Bacterial small subunit ribosomal RNA
Source: RNAcentral